UAGUUGUGUAUGAUGUGUUCACUACACAGCGUGGUAUUCCUGCACUGCAAAUGAAUGUUACGAUUGCUUGCUUAAAAGAUCCUAGCAGAGUGGCCUAAAAAUUUGCACAUUUGGGCUGUCUUAUAACACAGCUCCUUCGUGGACGAGUGUAGCUGAGCAGAGCAACAGCUCCUGCACAAGUGGCUGCUCCAGCGGGAGAAGUUCAUACGAUGACUCUGUCUACAAUGAAGUGGACUUUGCUAGGGCAUUUUCGGAGGCAGCAAAAAUCGCUGAUCAUCGAGUCAGCGGCUCAACCAUCAUGACAGAACGCCCAGCAGCAAGGCGAGUUUGCAGAAUCCAAUUCCCAGAUUCAGCCGUUGUCCUUUAGUCUGCCUAGUCAGAAGAUUCCAUGGGACGAAGCAACCCGGCACGAUGAAAAUAGCUCAUCUGUGCACAAUAAUGAUGUGGACUCCUGCAUCAGGGAUCUACGCGAAACGUGUCCUUUCUUCAGCUAGUGGUGUCCUGUGCUUUCGACAAACAGUUACGACCUUCCAAUGGAAUGACUAAGCGAUAUCCUGCCAAAUACGGAUGCAAAGAUAUUUAUGGAAAGCGCUCUAGUGCCAGCCUUUGGUGUGACUUUCGUAGCAGUCCUUUCAGUCGCUGAGAAAAAAAGAGCGUCUCCGCUUACGGGAGAAGCAAAUUAUGCAAGACCAUGUGAUAUGUGCCAAAUAUGAAGUGCCAUGCAAUGUUAAGACAACGAGACGCACCUCAUGAAGAGGCGGCUAUACGUUCCGAGGGUGCACAAGUGUGUGUGUGCGUGUAUGUAUGUGCGCGUGUGCUUACGUUACGUGAGACAUUUGUGAAGAUUUCACCCUCGACGUGCACGCGUGGAUGCGAACACAACUAUUUGUGUGUGUGUUGAAACAGCGCAAUCAGUGGUGGUUAUCGCAAGCGCCUGCCAACAGCCACCCACUGCUGGCCAUUUCCAAGCAUAUCACUGGACUCAGCUCUACAUGUUGUUUUAUUGUGAUGAUUGACACCCCGCUCUAGGGAAUUCGUCCUAGGUUGCACAGCAUUUGCUAUCCGUUUCACUCCUCGGUUUGUGUAUAGGUAAAUGUGCGUGGGUUGAUCGUCCUCACACUUUUAAUUUAUUGUUGCCAGUUUUUAUUUAAAUGAACGUUUGUAGGUUUGAAAAUGUGUGUACAAAGUAAAAGAAAAUCGCUAGAAAUAAAAGUCACUGUCGCCAACUUACGAAAACUUG
This is a non-coding RNA of Dermacentor andersoni, 1240 nucleotides long. The record is from RefSeq and is a predicted model, not a curated record. Lineage: Eukaryota; Metazoa; Arthropoda; Arachnida; Ixodida; Ixodidae.